Molecule: ribosomal RNA, 492 nt
Filed under: uncultured bacterium
Lineage: Bacteria
Description: partial 16S ribosomal RNA
Rfam family: Bacterial small subunit ribosomal RNA
Source: RNAcentral
AGUGAACGCUGGCGGUAGGCCUAACACAUGCAAGUCGAACGGCAGCACAGUAAGAGCUUGCUCUUACGGGUGGCGAGUGGCGGACGGGUGAGGAAUACAUCGGAAUCUACUUUUUCGUGGGGGAUAACGUAGGGAAACUUACGCUAAUACCGCAUACGACCUACGGGUGAAAGCAGGGGAUCUUCGGACCUUGCGCGAUUGAAUGAGCCGAUGUCGGAUUAGCUAGUUGGCGGGGUAAAGGCCCACCAAGGCGACGAUCCGUAGCUGGUCUGAGAGGAUGAUCAGCCACACUGGAAAUGAGACACGGCCCGGACCCCUACGGGAGGCAGCAGUGGGGAAUAUUGGACAAGGGGCGCAGGCCUGACCCAGCCAUCCCGCGGGGGUGAAGAAGGCCUUCGGGUUGUAAACCCCUUUUGUUGGGAAAAAAAACAAGCAGGUUAAUACCCCGCUGUUCGGACGGUACCAAAAAAAUAAGCCCCGGCUAACUUCGUG